UCAUCAGAAUUUCCUGCCUACAACAGUAAAAUUGUAUGGACCCUAAUCCGUGGCCAAAACUUCUUUGAUAUGAACACAACUCUUGGAAUCGGAGGUUCUGAUUGGCAAAGUCGACAGUUAUAUCGCAACUGGCAAACGGCAGCUGGUCAUGUGUACUUUACCGUAGAAGCCUCGCUUGCGAAUCCUUCCAAAAACUUGGACUAUUCCCUGGAGUUGGAUUAUCAGAUGAAAGCCAAGCAGGUAAAUUUAAAUUUUUAGCCCAGUUAAACGAAUUGCAGAAAAUCUCAUUGGACGCCUCCUAUGACAAGAAAUCAACUUUUGACAGGAAUUUUGAUUUAACAGUGCUUUCUCCAUGGAACAAAGGUGCUCUUUCCGCAGCGCUCGUAUCACAAAAUUUGGGGCAGUCUUCUGACAAGGAGAAGAUUUCACCUCAAACACAAUCUGUCAUCCCCGACUAUAUGACCCUAUAUGUCAAGGGUAACUGGACAACGCAUAACAGCAAAACGCAACACUUGCAAAUAGAUGGAGGAUAUAAAUCUCUCCUCUUUAACAAAGUUCUCGGAGAAAUUACCACACCUUUUAUUUGACCGUCAAGCUUCCUGAAGCAGUAUCCGGCAAGAAUCCACUAAAUUUCAAGUACUCAAUAGAUACAUUUAAGCAACCCAGAUAUGUUAAAUUGGAUGCAUCUUUCAAGGAUUAUGGCGCAAGCUAUACACUCAUCAGUCGAAGUCAAGGAGACCUAUCUAUCAAAUUUCACCUGCAGACGCCUUUCAAAAAGUACACUGGAGAGAUUAAAGGGGACAGUCUUGAUGAAGAGAGUCAUUUAGUAAUGGACUUAAACCUGUCGAAAUGUAUACAUUUUGAAUUCAACCAAAAAAAUGCCUCAGACAAACAAGAGAUCGACAGCAAGCUGUUCUGGGAUUACAAUGGAAACAGGAAUAAAACCAUCGGCAUAUAUCUUUACAACUCAGAGGCUGAGAAAAUUGGCAAGCUGUACCUGGAACAGCUAUUUAUGGGAUUAAAGAUGAAGCUGACAUCGGAAAAACAAGAAAAAUCCCUCCAACAUAACUUCUUGUUCUCUACAAGUUGGGGUGAAAGUGAGCAAAAUAUAAGCGGUGAGCUGAAACUGGAUGGGCGCUUGUUGGACCGCGAAUUCCAACAGUUGAACAAUGACCUGGGAAAAAAUACAACUCGUCAAGAAUUGACUCUCUCAACCUCAAUUGUAACACCAGUUAAAAACUUUGAGCUACAAUGGAUCGAUCUCAUACACGUCAAAGAAAUCUCGGAAGAAUCGUUUGUUGCAGAUAGUCCACUCUUUUGGACAUUAACAUCUACCAAGGUUUCUUUAUCUUGGCAUGAAAUGUCGGAUCCUUUGUUAGAAGGUCAGGGUCUGGACUACUUUGGUUCCGAACGACUUGGCCCGCAAUAUUUUACUCGUCCCGAUUCUGCUCAUAAUGAUAACUCACCGAAUGCUUGGAUUGAAAGGAAACUCGGCGCAAAAGUGGAGACAAUAUUCAGCAAUCACAAGACAGCAGCUAGCCUCCUUUACUUCAAUGACUAUUCAGAUCUAACUGCUGUUGAUGUCUCCUUUAACUACACCUAUGACGAUAAUGGACUGAAAGCCAGCUUGGAUUCUACCUACAACUACGCUAUGCCCCUCCUUCAUAUGGACCUGAAUAAAAAUCAGACAGAGUCCCGUUUGAAUUUCAAGUUCACCAGCCCAACGAAAGCUUUAACCUCGUUCACUAGCAACUUUGUUGUGGCCAGCUCGCUCAACUACGCUAUUUUGAAACCAAAUGGGAACCUAACAAAAAUAUUACCUUUUGGUACUCGAUUGAUUUGCCUA
This 1846-nucleotide long non-coding RNA is filed under the name Bemisia tabaci. RNAcentral describes it as "lncRNA ENSSSA3NGG008187". Lineage: Eukaryota; Metazoa; Arthropoda; Insecta; Hemiptera; Aleyrodidae. The record is from RNAcentral.